UACGAAGGGGGCUAGCGUUGUUCGGAUUAACUGGGCGUAAAGGGUGCGUAGGCGGGGUUUUAAGUCAGGGGUGAAAUCCCAAGGCUCAACCUUGGAACUGCCUUUGAUACUGGGGAUCUCGAGUCCGGAAGAGGUGAGUGGAACUGCGAGUGUAGAGGUGAAAUUCGUAGAUAUUCGCAAGAACACCAGUGGCGAAGGCGGCUCACUGGUCCGGUACUGACGCUGAGGUGCGAAAGCGUGGGGAGCAAACAGG
Molecule: ribosomal RNA, 253 nt
Filed under: uncultured bacterium
Lineage: Bacteria
Description: partial 16S ribosomal RNA
Rfam family: Bacterial small subunit ribosomal RNA
Source: RNAcentral